Molecule: ribosomal RNA, 253 nt
Filed under: uncultured bacterium
Lineage: Bacteria
Description: partial 16S ribosomal RNA
Rfam family: Bacterial small subunit ribosomal RNA
Source: RNAcentral
UACGUAGGGGGCAAGCGUUGUCCGGAAUCAUUGGGCGUAAAGCGCGUGUAGGCGGCUUGGUAAGUCCGCUCUGAAAGCCCGGGGCUCAACCCCGGGAGGCGGGUGGAUACUGUCAAGCUCGAGUCCGGAAGAGGCGAGUGGAAUUCCUGGUGUAGCGGUGAAAUGCGCAGAUAUCAGGAGGAACACCGGUGGCGAAGGCGGUUCUCUGGGCCUUACCUGACGCUGAGGCGCGAAAGCUAGGGGAGCGAACAGG